CACACACACUCUAAGAAGUGGGAAAAAUCUUGUAUGCCAUAUGCAUGUGGUUUGUGAGGACAGCAGCUUGAUUAGUUUGAGAGCUACAUGAAGCAUUGUUUUAGUCUUACAUUGCAGCUUUUGCAUAUGGUUCCCAUAACAGUUCAAAGAAAAGUUUUAUUGAUAUUGGCAUUUUGUUUACCUUGUUUUUGAAUUUUAUUUUGAUAAAGAGUUGAAUUUAUUGUAAAUUGAUUUAUUUCUUAGCUGUUAGUGAGGAAGCAGCCAGGAGAGCAGUGCAGGAGAUUCAGCACAGACAGAACCAGGAUAAAGAGUCUUCGCCCAUAUUAACACCCUCAUCUAAUCAGAAUAUUAGGGUAGCUACCACCCAGUCAGAACCUACAGCUUUAUUGUCUGUUGCAACAUCCACUAGUGAAUCACCACCUGCUCAAGCCACUAAGAAUGUGAAAAGCUUGUUCAUCCAUGGGGUUGACUUACAUGAAGACGUAACACAAGCUGUAGAUGCCCUGCGUGAGAAGUUGACAUGGGCAAGUAAACAGCUAAAUGCUACAACAAGCAUUCAUGAGGCACAGACACUCGCAGCAUUGAUUUCAGAUACCUGUAGGGCUAUUUCUGCUCUAAGAGAUCUUUAAUGAGUGAGAAGAUAACAAAUAUGUUGCUUUGUUUUAAAAGCCUUUAAUCUCUGCUAGACUUAUAUUAUUUUUGUGCUCAAUUUAAUUCCUCUUUUUGGAACUAUUAAUUUCAAGGACUAUUUUUCGCUGACAAUUAUAAAACAUUGUAUUGUUUCCAGGUCAUCUCUUUAAGAAUAAUAACUUUACUGCAGUUGAAAAACACACCAUAUAAUCUGGGCAGAUAUUACAUAACACGUCAUUUAUUCAUAAAGUGGCACCAUUACACAAAGUCAGCAUAACUUAGGUUUUCCUUGAGACACCCAAGCAUGUCAAGUAGUGCUUAUAUAGGCUGUGAUACUAGCCUAACUUAUGAAUAUGCUGUAUGUGACAUCUGUGAAUAUAAUAAAUUGAAUUAUGUUUA
Penaeus indicus is the source of this 1029-nucleotide long non-coding RNA. RefSeq lists it as uncharacterized. The transcript has 2 exons. The record is from RefSeq and is a predicted model, not a curated record. Lineage: Eukaryota; Metazoa; Arthropoda; Malacostraca; Decapoda; Penaeidae.